GAUGAACGCUGGCGGCGUGCCUAAUACAUGCAAGUCGAGCGAACAGACGAGGAGCUUGCUCCUCUGACGUUAGCGGCGGACGGGUGAGUAACACGUGGAUAACCUACCUAUAAGACUGGGAUAACUUCGGGAAACCGGAGCUAAUACCGGAUAAUAUAUUGAACCGCAUGGUUCAAUAGUGAAAGACGGUUUUGCUGUCACUUAUAGAUGGAUCCGCGCCGCAUUAGCUAGUUGGUAAGGUAACGGCUUACCAAGGCAACGAUGCGUAGCCGACCUGAGAGGAUGAUCGGCCACACUGGAACUGAGACACGGUCCAGACUCCUACGGGAGGCAGCAGUAGGGAAUCUUCCGCAAUGGGCGAAAGCCUGACGGAGCAACGCCGCGUGAGUGAUGAAGGUCUUCGGAUCGUAAAACUCUGUUAUUAGGAAAGAACAAAUGUGUAAGUAACCAUGCACGUCUUGACGGUACCUAAUCAGAAAGCCACGGCUAACUACGUG
Molecule: ribosomal RNA, 497 nt
Filed under: uncultured bacterium
Lineage: Bacteria
Description: partial 16S ribosomal RNA
Rfam family: Bacterial small subunit ribosomal RNA
Source: RNAcentral